Anastrepha obliqua is the source of this 345-nucleotide long non-coding RNA. RefSeq lists it as uncharacterized. Lineage: Eukaryota; Metazoa; Arthropoda; Insecta; Diptera; Tephritidae. The transcript has 2 exons. The record is from RefSeq and is a predicted model, not a curated record.
GGAGUUCGAUGAAGUACUUUUAAAUUCAGUAUUAAGUCUUCCAUCCAAAUUCAAUAAAAUCUUAGAGAGUCCUGUCCGAGCAACAGCAUUUUGUGAAAUAAUUAGUGUGCAUGUUUUCCAAUCAAGGCAAAUAUAAAUGCUCGGACAUGGAACCGUAGAUCACGUUUUGCACCUUAUUCAUCCUACAUCUGACACCAAUUGGAUUCAUUAAGCUCCUUUGGCACUCAUCAUCUAACAUUGAAUCGCCAAAAAAACGUUGGAAGACCUCAAACGCAGUUUCGGCCAUUGGACAAAAUUGUGAUUUUUCAUAGUUUAGGUUCAACGAAUAAAAAGCACAAUAGACAA